AUGCUGAUAGAAGGGACAGAACCACACCCAGCCAGAGAUCACUGUCACAGUGCUAAGUCCAUCAGCCAUGUGAGGAACAGAAUGGAGAAAACCCACUUCGAUGACAGGAGCCUUCCAGACGGGUCUCUUCCCCACCAGUCUUACCUUCUGCUGACUGUAGACACAGCUUCUGCGAAACACCCAGCACAGGUGAAAGGGGGCAACACCACCCACUUUGCAGGCUACAGAUUAAACAGGUAAACAUUCCUGGCCCAUGGGAGUCUGCCCAAGUGCAGCUUCU
This 280-nucleotide long non-coding RNA is filed under the name Sus scrofa (pig). RNAcentral's name for it is "lncRNA (ENSSSCG00005033365.1)". Lineage: Eukaryota; Metazoa; Chordata; Mammalia; Artiodactyla; Suidae. The record is from RNAcentral.